UACGAAGGGGGCAAGCGUUACUCGGAAUUACUGGGCGUAAAGCGUGCGUAGGCGGUUCGUUAAGUCUGACGUGAAAUCCCCGGGCUCAACCUGGGACGUGCGUUGGAAACUGGCGAUCUAGAGUACGGUAGAGGGUGGUGGAAUUCCCGGUGUAGCAGUGAAAUGCGUAGAGAUCGGGAGGAACACUCGUGGCGAAGGCGGCCACCUGGACCAGUUCUGACGAUGAGGCACGAAAGAGUGGGGAGCAAACAGG
RNAcentral lists this ribosomal RNA (253 nucleotides) under uncultured bacterium. Its description in RNAcentral is "partial 16S ribosomal RNA". It matches the Rfam family "Bacterial small subunit ribosomal RNA", at positions 524 to 776 of the family's 1533-position model. The record is from RNAcentral.